RNAcentral lists this long non-coding RNA (4185 nucleotides) under Heterocephalus glaber (naked mole-rat). RNAcentral's name for it is "lncRNA (ENSHGLG00000050958.1)". Lineage: Eukaryota; Metazoa; Chordata; Mammalia; Rodentia; Bathyergidae. The record is from RNAcentral.
CUGUUGGUGGGCAUUUGGCUUGUUUGCAAUUUUUGUGUGUUGUGAAUAAUGCUAAGAACAUUCAUGUAUAAACUCUUGUGCGGACAUAUGCUUUCAAAUGUCUUGGGUGUCUACUUCUUAGCCUUGCAUGGCAUGGCUGUAUCACAUGGUAACUAUGUUUAACCAUUUAAAGAACUGCCAGACUGUUUCCCAAAGUAUCUGUCCUAUUUUACAUUUUCAUUAGCAGUAUAUGAGGAUUUCAGUUUCUCGUCAAUACUUACUAGCUGUCUUUCUAAUGUUAGCUAUUAGGUCUGAAGUGACAUUUCAUUGUGGUUUUGAUUUGUAUUUUCUCAGUGACUAUUCACUUGAUUAAUGGUCAUCUUUUCUUUUUUGGUCCUGUCUGCUUUUAAUUGGCAAGGAGAAAUAGCAGUAUGAAUAAUCUGUCCAGUUCUUAUGUGUAGAGUAGUUUCUGUCUUCUCUGACCCAGUUUAGUCUACUUACGCAUCAGGGAAUGUUUGAUUGAAGUAAUGCUCUUUUUUUUUUUUUCAUACCGGGGAUUGAACUUGGAACCUUGCGCUUUCAAGGGAGGUGCUGGACCCACUGAGCUAAAUCCCCGGCCCUGAAGUAAUGCUCUUUUAAAACACAGUUACAAUUAAGCCAUGACUCAACUGGGUACAUAUAAAAAAGAAUGUUUUGAACAUUCUGGAUUUUGUGUCUUUGUAAAAAGAAAUUAAAUCUUUAAAGAAAUCAGUAAAGGAUGAGGUUUUUAUGAACAUCUGUAAGCAGAAACACAGAUUCUUUCUAAUUCCUUUUGACCUGACUAAAAGCCUGGACAAGAGAGUAUGUAUUUUAUUUUGUUCUUUUUCUUUGUUUUUUCAAAAACUAGACUAUUCUCAAAAAAAUCUUAUUCUCCUAUAUUUUAGAGGUAAACACUUUAGUGUCUUUAUUUCUUACUACUUACUUUUUGAUUAAUCUAAUUGAAAAUCUGACUACAAUAAUAUAUUUUACAUGCAUUAUAUUGUGCACACACACACUUUUUAUUGUUUAAACAUAGUAUACCUUGGUGUAACAUGAUUGUUUCAGAUGUCUGCCUGAAAUAGAAUUUCCUUAAGAGGAUGGCGGAGGCCAAGAUCAGGUAACCACUACUCCUGGCAUUGCAAAGCAUUCUUCCUGAGAUUGAGAUAAGAAGAGAAAUGGAAUAAGCCUCAAUUUUGAGGUUUACGUUCUUGACUACGUAAUGGUGAGAUAAUUUACCUUUUCCUUUGUUUUUAAAAACUUUAUUUUUAUUUUUCAUAGCACUUCCUUGAUUUCUCUUUAAAAUUUUUUUUCUUAGUUAUCACUGCUGAAACUUAACUCCUUUUUUUUUUUAACCAUUUAUCCUGUUUUCAUGUUCCAGUGCUCUUUCCCUCUUUUAAUCAUUUUUUUUUUUUUACCAACAAAUAAUUUGAGCUUAUUAGAUCCGAAAUUCUCUUACCUUUACACUUUGUGUCAGACUUUUUGGUUAAGGAGGAAUCACUCCAUUUUUAGUUUUAUUUAUUUUUUUUUUUUUGGUACCGGGGAUUGAACUCGGGUUCUUGCGCUUGCACAGCAGGCGGCGAAACCACUGAGCUAAAUCCCCGGCCUCCAUGUUUAGUCUUAAUAUCAGGAAAGAAAAAAAUGUAAUCUGAGAGGCUGAGUGUGUAAUUCAGUGGUCGAGCACUUGCCUAGCGUCCAAGAGCCCAGCUUGUGGUAUGUAGUAGGUCCUGUGCCAUAAACAGUACUCUAUGUACAUUUGAUGAUGUUGAUUGAAUACCAAAUGAAAUACCAAAUGAAUAAUGCCUUGAGAGGCUAAAUUCCUUGAGGUUUCUUUGUUCACCAGAAUACACUGCAUUGGUGUUCCAAAUACAGACUCUCAGGGGGGAAAAAAAGCUUGACUGGCUAUCACUGGCAUUUAAAUAGGAUAAAGGAAAUAUUAAAUUGAAUUCUACCCUAUUCCAAAUACAGACUGUCAGAGAUGAAAACAAACUUUUCUUAUGGACUGGAUAUCGAUGGCAUCUAAAUAUAAUGAAUGAUAUAUUAAACUGAGUUCUACACAUACUCCAUUUAGCUAGGUUUUGUGAACUGUGUGGCCUUACAUACAUGAUGUAUUAUCACUAUCUGAGAUCUUAUUUUAGCCAUGUAGAAUGGAGAGAAUUCCACUCUUUCUCUGGCCUUCAGGAUAGACCCAACAUUUGAAAUACAGUAUUAAUUUCAGACACCUAGAUUUUCUAGGUGUGUCUUCAGAUUCCUCUUUAUACAUGUUUUUUUCUGGGAGAGCAGUAAGUAAAUCUACCAAACUCAUUUGACUUUUAGAAGACAUUUAAAACAGAAAGACACUUGGCCAGACUUGAGCUGCAAUGGGAGCAGCAGCUCCAGAUGGAUCAACUUUGAGGGGGCUCAGCUUGGGACGUGUUUGCUGUGGUCUCUGGCUGCAUGGCUGAAUUGGUUGGGACCAUUUAGUAGGCUAGGAGGUCUUACCCUGAACUCACUUGUCUGUGUAGGCUUUCUGAUGGUUUGUACAGCAUUGAACCCUCACCUAGAUCUAAAAUCCACAUGCUGAGGGCAGCUCCAGCCACCUUUCGUGUCAUAUGGUGAGUGUAUUCCUGAGAAGUGGGGUGAAAGCAACAUCCAGGAAUUGUUAAAUUUGUCAUGCAAGGUGAUUAAGUUAAACAGCAAAUCUCUUGUAAAAUAUAAAACAAUUCUUGAUUGCGUUCUCUUCUACUUUCUGGUACAAAUCUGACAACCUGUGGAGUAUACAGAGACGGUGUCUCUCUUCUCCCAUCUCCCAUUUUAAAUAGCAGCCUCAUUGAAAUAUAAUCCAUAUUGGGGCCACUCUGAAGAAAAAGGGUGGAUACCCCCACCCACGAAAAACUUUCUGGAUGCUGAGUAAUGACUCAUAUGCACCCCAAGAGGGCAUGAAAAGGUUUAUUACACACACACACACACACACACACACACACACGCAAGAAUUAAGAUGUUAUUAUGUACAUGUGCCAACUCUCCAGGAAAAAUAUAAUCAUUAUGUACUGCAAACAUAUACUAAUUAGAAAAAAAGGUUUAUUACUCACAAAAUGAGGCUUUCUAGAAAAGAGCAACGCAGCUUCCAAGCAGGUCUUCAGAUAGCUUUCGAGGACAGGAAAAGAAGACUUGCUUGGGGAUUUUGUGGUAGUAUGGGGAGGUGUGAGGAUGAGGGUUCCUACUGAUGGUUUGAAUUUACUGUGGGUUGCCAAAGGAAGGAGACACUUUGACCUUCCUGUCAGCUUUCCCAAAGGUGGGCAGAAGAGAUAUGCUUAAAUGCUGUCAGGAUCAAAUACCAGAAAUGAAGUCAAAGCCAUGAUUACAUUCACAUCAAGUCACUUUGAAUGUAUUCAGUCAGUAGUUUUAUUAGUACAUGUAUUAGAAACACUGUCUAGUUUCUGAACAUUUUCAUUGUCCCCAAAAGCAAUCCUGUCCCCAUUAGCAAUCACCCCAUAUUCCCUGUCCAGAUCUAGAUAAGCAUUAAUCUAUUUUCUAUCUCUAUGGAUCUGUCUGUUCUGGACAUUUCAUUUAAAUGCAGUCUGAGUUCUUUGGUAAUUAGCUUCUUGCACUUAGCAUUAUGGUGUCAGAUUUUUUCAUGUUGCAGCAUGCAUCAGUACUUUGUUUUUAUGGCUGAAUGAUAUUCCAGAUGUGGAUAUGCCAUAUCAGCUUGUCCUAAUAAAGGGCGAUUGAUCUGGAGCAUCUAAGGGAGAGGCAGUGGUGGGAGUUACGUGUCAGUAUCAGCAGGACAGGAAGACAUGGGCCUGGAUCUCAAGAGGGACUCAAAGACAGGCAUCCAAUCUUGGGAGCUGUGUAAAUUAGAGGUGACAUUUAUAGAUGUGAAAGUAAAUGUGAUGUCCAAAUUGAAAUAUAUACUCGUUUAGAGUCUGUACUGUUUGCUAAUAGGCACCAUCCAUCUCUUCAUGCCCUGUGAUGAAAUUCAUGGUAAUUAUCAUUUUAGACCAGUCCAGAUUCAUUCUUUAUUGUUUGUUUUGUUUUGUUGUUUUUGUUUGUUGUUGUUGUUGUUUUGAGACAGGGUAUUGCUAUGUAGUCCAGGCUGGUCUUGAACUCAGUAUGUAGCUGAGGAUGGCCUCAAACUCAUGGCAGUCUUCCUGCCUCAGCCUCCCAAGUGCUGGGAUUAUAAGCAUGCACCACCACGCCCAGUUUCCAGAU